Molecule: signal recognition particle RNA, 281 nt
Filed under: Trichoderma atroviride IMI 206040
Lineage: Eukaryota; Fungi; Ascomycota; Sordariomycetes; Hypocreales; Hypocreaceae
Description: Fungal signal recognition particle RNA
Rfam family: Fungal signal recognition particle RNA
Source: Rfam by way of RNAcentral
CGGCUGUAAUGGUCAAACGGUGAAGGCUCUCACUCAACACUCACCUUUCCCACACCCACCCCCGUCAGAUCCCCUCCGUUCGACGCCCAGCCCGAACGCCGCGGUGGCUGCGCGCUCGCAUGGGUAACCUGCGAUUUGCCGCGCUGCCCUAAGCAAUGGAGAUGACACUUGAGGGAGGUUUCACUCUGCAGAGGACUCUCCCCCGUCGCGUGGCGGGCUGGAUUACGAUCGCGGAGGGCGUGGGUUGGAUGGGCGAGACGGAGAAUGCCGACAUCAUUUUU